UAAAUGCUAAGUGCCUAGCACUAUAGAGCUGUGACAUAAAGGCUAAAUGCUAAGUGCCUAGCACUACAGAGCUGAGACAUAAAGGCUAAAUGCUAAGUGCCUAGCACUACAGAGCUGAGACAUAGAGGCUAAAUGCUAAGUGCCUAGCACUACAGAGCGGAGACAUAAAGGUUAAAUGCAACGCACAGUCAAAGACUGUGUAGCGUAGUGGUACGGAAGAGCGGACAAAGAAUAGAGUCGCCAUAAUGGUACCGACAGAUUCAAAACCACAAACAACUUUAGAGCAAUUGCUGUAUGCCAGGGGAUAUAACAGCAACCAUAUCUCAUCAAAUAACUCUCCAGUUAUAAAGUAAAGCCACAUAGGCAAGCAAUAUUAUAUUCGUUCUAUCCCUGCACUCGACCACUUAGGACUUCAGUAUUGUGCUCUUACUGUUACUGAGCCGUGCGAUGCAACGUGAGCUGAUGGCUGUAAUGCCAGACCACUGUUAUGAGGCAUAAAAGAGUCUUAAAAAUAUCUUGUUUCAAUAACACAAGCAUGGCCAGCACCCAAAAGCAGAGCUAGAGGGAGAACAGUCAUUAGUAGGUAGGAUGUCUGGGUAAGUGCUACAAUUGAUCUGUUUAAAAGGUCCAAUGUGACUGGCUGGCUAGUAAAGGUCCAAUGUGACUGGCUGGCUAGUAAAGGUCAAAUGUGACUGGCUGGCUAGUAAAGGUCAAAUGUGACUGGCUGGCUAGUAAAGGUCAAAUGUGACUGGCUGGCUAGUAAAGGUCAAAUGUGACUGGCUGGCUAGUAAAGGUCAAAUGUGACUGGCUGGCUAGUAAAGGUCAAAUGUGACUGGCUGGCUAGUAAAGGUCCAACGUGACUGGCUGGCUAGUAAAGGUCAAACGUGACUGGCUGGCUAGUAAAGGUCAAACGUGACUGGCUGGCUAGUAAAGGUCAAACGUGACUGGCUGGCUAGUAAAGGUCAAACGUGACUGGCUGGCUAGUAAAGGUCAAACGUGACUGGCUGGCUAGUAAAGGUCAAACGUGACUGGCUGGCUAGUAAAGGUCAAACGUGACUGGCUGGCUAGUAAAGGUCAAACGUGACUGGCUGGCUAGUAAAGGUCAAACGUGACUGGCUGGCUAGUAAAGGUCAAACGUGACUGGCUGGCUAGUAAAGGUCAAACGUGACUGGCUGGCUAGUAAAGGUCAAACGUGACUGGCUGGCUAGUAAAGGUCAAAUGUGACUGGCUGGCUAGUAAAGGUCAAAUGUGACUGGCUGGCUAGUAAAGGUCAAAUGUGACUGGCUGGCUAGUAAAGGUCCAAUGUGACUGGCUGGCUAGUAAAGGUCCAAUGUGACUGGCUGGCUAGUAAAGGUCCAAUGUGACUGGCUGGCUAGUAAAGGUCAAAUGUGACUGGCUGGCUAGUAAAGGUCAAAUGUGACUGGCUGGCUAGUAAAGGUCAAAUGUGACUGGCUGGCUAGUAAAGGUCAAAUGUGACUGGCUGGCUAGUAAAGGUCAAAUGUGACUGGCUGGCUAGUAACGGUCAAAUGUGACUGGCUGGUUCAUAAAAAAGGCAUCACAUGAGUCAGAAGUGGUGCCGUUCCCCACUCACAAAAAUUAAAGAUUCAAAUCUGAUUCAAAAUGUUCCGCGAAUAUUCAAAUCGUCGCCAAAACCACAAUAAUAUUGUGUAACGUUAGCUAAGUAAGUAGAGUGACUGCCUACAUGCUAAUGUGGGGGUCCACCAGAGGACUCCCCCAGGGCUAGGGCCUGCAGGUCAUGACACUGCAGAAG
Molecule: long non-coding RNA, 1771 nt
Organism: Oncorhynchus keta (chum salmon)
Lineage: Eukaryota; Metazoa; Chordata; Actinopteri; Salmoniformes; Salmonidae
Exons: 4
Source: RefSeq, a predicted model, not a curated record